RNAcentral lists this ribosomal RNA (253 nucleotides) under uncultured bacterium. RNAcentral's name for it is "partial 16S ribosomal RNA". It matches the Rfam family "Bacterial small subunit ribosomal RNA", at positions 524 to 776 of the family's 1533-position model. The record is from RNAcentral.
UACGAAGGGGGCUAACGUUGUUCGGAAUCACUGGGCGUAAAGGGCGCGUAGGCGGCCGAUCAAGUCGGGGGUGAAAGCCUGUGGCUCAACCACAGAAUUGCCUUCGAUACUGUUUGGCUUGAGACCGGAAGAGGUAAGUGGAACUGCGAGUGUAGAGGUGAAAUUCGUAGAUAUUCGCAAGAACACCAGUGGCGAAGGCGGCUUACUGGUCCGGUUCUGACGCUGAGGCGCGAAAGCGUGGGGAGCAAACAGG